UGAGGCGACUUUUGUUGUGAUUUGGCGCUAUAUAAAUAAAAUUGAAUUGAAUUGAAUUGAAUGCCCGAGGUCCUCGAGCUGUCUGCCUCUCAUCAGAUAAGCGCUGUAGCAUUAAGAAGGUGCUGUUCCAGGGCCUGUACAUAGGAACAUGCAAACAAACAUUUUUAAACAUUUGAUACAUUUGAUACUAUCAAGGUACAUAAGCUGUGUCCAGCCUACGAAUCUGCCCGACAAAUGUGUCCUGUUUAUUUCCCCAGAUUUGAAGGAUGGGUCAUUGUGCCCUUUGUGGCCCAUCAUAUCCCAGAAUUCAUAGCGCAGCCCAGCCAAUUCCAGUUUCCAACAACGGCGGCCACUAUUAAGUUUUAAUAUUACUCUUAUUAAUCUUUCUGGGUCACAAAAUAAUCGUUUAACAUAUAUAUUUUUUUAUUUUUAAACCCAUGAAAGCAUCCUUUUUUCCAGUAGCUAAAUCACAUUUUUUUUUAUCUUAAAUUGUGUUGAGUGGAAAGUUUAUAUUUCUAAUGUCAUGUGUGAUGUUCUUGUAUGUGAUUUAUUUACUCAGAAAAUCCACAAAUGUGCCUCUUUUGACAAUAAUCAUUGCAUACCUCAGUUUUAACUUUCAGUUCAGUUACAGUUCAGGGUCACCUACACGGUCUCUGCCCACCCCGAGUCCAUCACAGGGUUAAAUAAUUUUGGUCUAAUUGAGUAGGAUUGAUGUGAACUCAUCAUAAGAAGGUUAUAGGUUUAUUCUUUCAGAGGUAGUCCAGGCACUAGGACUUGGGCCCAGGAUCUUGAGCUUUUGGACUUUAAACUCUUAUUAUUACUUCUCUGUUUAAUCCUCACUGUUUCAUUCUCAGUUUAUUUCUAUUAUUAGCAUUUGAUAUUUUCUAUAUUCACCAGUGUUCUGGGCUCUCUGUUUCUGUUAGAGUUCCAUUCUGAUGUGUCAAGUUCUCUUGUGGUCAGUCCUCAUUUAGCUCCAGUUUUAGUUUGUAAUAUUUUGACCUUUGAAUCCUGACUCAAGCUUUACUUCCUGUCUGUCAUUUUCCUUAAUUAUGUUCAGCUGUGUCCAGUUCCCAAUUAGCCCUCAGUGUGUGAGAGAGUAUUUGUAGCCCUGUCUCAUAUCUUUUUAGUUAACAUGUUAGUUUAUGCUUCCUGAGAUUCUGUUGCACUUUGUUUUCCUUGCAUUUUGGACUUGAGUGGAUAUCCCAAAUAAAGCAAGUGGAGAAGAGCCUGACGAAACAGCAGAGCAACAUUUUUGAGUCAUUUAGGCUCAGUUUAGCCACCACAGAGGAAACGAUGACUUCAACAGAAAAGGACCAAAAUGGGCAAAGAUGUCAGCCCUCUCAGGAGGCUGACAAACUCCAUGGGGGAAGAAAAUACAGCUGCAAUGAGUGUGGGAAGGCUUUUACUCGAAAGGAGUCCCUAAGAAAACACACAGACAUCCACACUGGAGAGAUUCUGUUCAUCUGUGACUUGUGUGGAAAAUGUUUUACUUGCCUUGGUAACUUACAAAGACACCAACGAAUCCACAGGGGAUAUAAACCGUUUAGAUGUGACUUGUGUGGGAAGUCCUUUACUCAGCAAAGUGCCCUAAAAAAAGCAUAAAGUCUCUCACAGUGAUAUCAUAGCAUACCGUUGUGAUCAUUGUGGUUAGUGUUUUACCCAGAAAGAAGGCCUGGAAAACCACAAGCUCAUCCACAGUGGAGUUAAACCAUACAGAUGUGAUCAGUGUGGUAAAGAUUUUACUGAAAGUGGUAGCUUACGGAGGCAUGGAGUUACCCACUCUGGAAUUAAGGCGUACAGCUGUGACAUUUGUGGAAAAUCUUUCAACCAUAUAGGGAACAGAAAUAGACAAACGCAUUCACACGGGACAUGAUGUUUACAGCUGUGAUCAGUGUGGCAAGCAGUUUACAGAACAAGUACGCUUACAACGCCACAUGUUUACCCACACUGAGGAGAGACCAUAUAAAUGUGAACUGUGUGAGAAGACUUUUAAACUUUCAUGGUCCCUUAAAAGGCACCAUCAGAUCCAUACCAGGAAAAAACUCUACAAGUGCAGUUACUGUGAGAAGCAGAACAACCCAGAAGGAUACAGUUUUGAACACUGCUAUCGUUGUGGUGGUGGGAAAGCAUUUUGUUGUGACAUUUGUAGAAAACUUUUCAGCCAGGAAAGGACCCGAAAAUUACAUCAACGUAGACACACUGGACACAAAAUGAACUACUGCAAAGAAUGUGGGAGAGGCUUCCCCACUCCAAGUAAAUUACGACAUCAUGAACUUAUUCACAGUGACAUUAAAAAGUACAUCUGUGACCAGUGUGGGUCAUCCUUCACCACUGCAGGUAACCUUAAAAUGCAUAAACAAAUCCACAUGGGAGAGAAACCAUAUAAGUGUAGACACUGUGAGGAAAGCUUCUCACAUUCAAGUACUCGUCACCUUCAUGAAGGAACGCAUAAAACUACACCUGUGACUAGUGUGACAGGAGUUUGAUCUUAAAAGUAUAUUAAAAUGUAAAUAUUUUGUUUUUAUCUUUGAGGAAUUAAAUGUGGUAUAACCUCCACACACUGUCCUGCUUACCAUUAAAGUUGAGUAUUGGUAAGUGUGGCUGUGUGGUGCUUAUACUAUUUUUCUCCACAAAGAGAAGGUUCCCAAGUCUCUUUAAGAAUUAAUUUUAUUUUUUUUAAAUGCAUAAAAAUUUCCUACUGAUUUUAUUUUUAUCUUGUAUAGAACUUUUAAAUGCUUAUUCAACCUGCUGUGGUAAUCCCUACUACUUUUCACAAAACUGAUCCUGAAAGGUCAAAUGCAACGUAAGAAAAUGUUAGCGAAUGGGGAAAACUGCUGAUACAAUGGUAGAAAACAAUCAAUGUGUUUCUGGGGAGACAAUUUUGCCAACGAGCUUCAGAAGGGGAAAAAUACAAAUAAUGGGACAUAUUACACUUAAACACAUUUAGAAAGGGUGGAGAGUUAUUCAGUUCUUUGAUGGAGGGGAAGAAAUUAGCGUUUUUCAUCACAAAAUUUAUGUAGUAUUGUAGAUGUUUAAUAUUAGUGGUUUACUGUUAGCCUGUUACUUUUGCAGCUUUGCCAUUACAUGAUUGUCUUCUCACAAACGCUUCCAUUGAGACUUGUCCAGGAUGC
This is a long non-coding RNA of Oreochromis niloticus (Nile tilapia), 3131 nucleotides long. RefSeq lists it as uncharacterized. Lineage: Eukaryota; Metazoa; Chordata; Actinopteri; Cichliformes; Cichlidae. The record is from RefSeq and is a predicted model, not a curated record. The transcript has 4 exons.